GACUCGGCUCUUCAUGAAUUUCUUUAUGAGGGUAAGGCUACUGUCUGGAUGUUAUACUGUAGUACUUAAAAAAAAAACUUUCCUUCCCUUGAUUAGCUGUGUGCAUUGCUUGUCUAUAUGAAACAUGUCGUUACUUGACUUCUCUACCAAUUAAUUUGUUUUCAUUUUCUUCUUGCAUACAUAAUCGUGCUUCAUGUUCUGUAUUCAUUUCUAUCUAUUUCAGUUGCAAGAAUAGUAGCAGAAAUUGUUUUGUGCUAUCGAUUUUUUUAAUUACUUUAUCUUUCCCUGGAAAAAGACAUGUUUCCUACUAUGUCGACAUAAAUUGAAUGUUAUACUAUAGUUUAUCCUCUAACUUGGCCAUACCUUCUGUCUUUAGAUUUCCUAAUAAUGUGGCAGAGAUAUGUUUUCGUGACUUUAAGUUUAAGAUUUAGAUUUUCUUUCAAUUAGAAUAUGACUUAAUUUGCUAAAGUUAUGUUUUCUUUGAUGCAGGAGAAGAUAGAAUCUAAAACAGAUAUACUUAAGGAAAUUCUAAACCCAGUAGUCGCUGAAGCUGAAGAAGUUUCAUGGCCUCCAAGGGAUCCUGAAGCUCUCAUAUUGAUGGAAAAAUAAAUUGGAGAGGAAGCUCUCGGAGGCAGCAGGGAGAGAGGUGGUUCUUUGGUUCAUGGAAGAGAAGGCAGAUGACAUCACGAAGCAGAUAAAUACUUGCAAUGGUUUUUAUUGUGAUAGCUUCAAGCCAAACAAUGAAACGAGUCCUAAGAUGUGGACAGAAAAUUGGACUGGCUGUUUUAAAAGUUGGGAUUCACCAGAUCCUCAUAGGCCCGCAGAGGAUGUAGCUUUGGUUGUUGCUCGAUUUUUCCAAAGAGGAGGAAUUGUGCGUAAUGUUGUGCGAUGGAGCAUACAGAACCUCUUGUAAAUAAUUUAUGUAAAAGUUUGUAAACAAUUUAUGUAUCUCUCUACUAUUUU
This is a long non-coding RNA of Asparagus officinalis (garden asparagus), 963 nucleotides long. RefSeq lists it as uncharacterized. The record is from RefSeq and is a predicted model, not a curated record. Lineage: Eukaryota; Viridiplantae; Streptophyta; Magnoliopsida; Asparagales; Asparagaceae. The transcript has 4 exons.